CCUACACAUGCAGUCGAACGAGAAAAGGGACUUCGGUCCUGAKUAUAGUGGCGCACGGGUGAGUAACACGUGACUAAUCUACCCUCGAGUGGGGAAUAACUGAGAGAAAUCUUAGCUAAUACCGCAUAACACUUACGAGUCAAAGCAGCAAUGCGCUUGGGGAGGAGGUCGCGGCCGAUUAGCUAGUUGGCGGGGUAAUGGCCCACCAAGGCGAUGAUCGGUAUCCGGCCUGAGAGGGCGCACGGACACACUGGAACUGAAACACGGUCCAGACUCCUACGGGAGGCAGCAGUGGGGAAUUUUGCGCAAUGGGGGAAACCCUGACGCAGCAACGCCGCGUGGAGGAUGAAGUAUCUCGGUACGUAAACUCCUUUCGAUGGGGAAGAUAAUGACGGUACCCAUAGAAGAAGCCCCGGCUAAMKUCGUGCCAGCAGCCGCGGUAAUACGAGGGGGGCAAGCGUUGUUCGGAUUUAUUGGGCGUAAAGGGUGCGUAGGCGGUUUGGCAAGUCUUAUGUGAAAUCCAUGGGCUCAACCCAUAGUCUGCAUGAGAAACUACCGGGCUUGAGUGAUGGAGAGGUGAGUGGAAUUUCCGGUGUAGCGGUGAAAUGCGUAGAUAUCGGAAGGAACACCUGUGGCGAAAGCGGCUCACUGGACAUUAACUGACGCUGAUGCACGAAAGCUAGGGGAGCAAACAGGAUUAGAUACCCUGGUGGUCCUAGCCCUAAACGAUGAUUGCUUGGUGUGGCAGGUACCCAAUCCUGCCGUGCCGAAGCUAACGCGAUAAGCAAUC
This 790-nucleotide ribosomal RNA is filed under the name uncultured bacterium. RNAcentral describes it as "bacterial SSU rRNA". It matches the Rfam family "Bacterial small subunit ribosomal RNA", at positions 48 to 869 of the family's 1533-position model. The record is from RNAcentral.